Molecule: unclassified non-coding RNA, 250 nt
Filed under: uncultured fungus
Lineage: Eukaryota; Fungi
Description: partial contains 5.8S ribosomal RNA, internal transcribed spacer 2, and large subunit ribosomal RNA
Source: RNAcentral
AACGCACAUUGCGCCCCUUGGUAUUCCAUGGGGCAUGCUUGUUCGAGCGUCAUUUGUACCCUCAAGCUUUGCUUGGUGUUGGGCGAUUGUCCUUUCCUCUGCGAUGGGACUCGCCUUAAAGUCAUUGGCAGCCAGUGUAUUGGUUUGAAGCGCAGCACAAUUUGCGGCUCGAACUAGUAGUCACUCGCGUCCAGUAAGCACAAUUAACACUUUUGACCUCGGAUCAAGUAGGGAUACCCGCUGAACUUAA